UACGUAGGGUGCGAGCGUUAAUCGGAAUUACUGGGCGUAAAGCGCGCGCAGGCGGCUCCUUAAGUCAGAUGUGAAAGCCCCGGGCUUAACCUGGGAACUGCGUUUGAAACUGGGGAGCUGGAGUGUGGAAGAGGGGGGUGGAAUUCCAGGUGUAGCAGUGAAAUGCGUAGAGAUCUGGAGGAACACCGAUGGCGAAGGCAGCCCCCUGGGCUAACACUGACGCUGAUGCACGAAAGCGUGGGGAGCAAACAGG
RNAcentral lists this ribosomal RNA (253 nucleotides) under uncultured bacterium. RNAcentral describes it as "partial 16S ribosomal RNA". It matches the Rfam family "Bacterial small subunit ribosomal RNA", at positions 524 to 776 of the family's 1533-position model. The record is from RNAcentral.